Molecule: long non-coding RNA, 4851 nt
Organism: Oncorhynchus tshawytscha (Chinook salmon)
Lineage: Eukaryota; Metazoa; Chordata; Actinopteri; Salmoniformes; Salmonidae
Source: Ensembl
AAACAAUCAAAGAUUGAUGCGUUGGUAAAUUGAAUCAGCUGUGUAGUGCUAGGGAAAAACACCAAACAUUCACCUGGGGGCCCAGGACCGACUAUGGGAACGUUGGGCUAGAGUGCACAUGCCAAGGCCAGAGUAGGCAUAUUUGCUAUUUAAUUAAUGCAACAGUUUUAGUGAAAAAACUAUCGGUAGAGUUGAAAAUGCGAUGGAAACAUGUUGAACUAUAAGCUUUUUUUUUAGCUCUCUGAUUUUGUUCCGCAAAAAGUACAUUUGGUUGAAACCCCACUGGUGUGGAAAAGGCGCAUAUUUACUUUUUGCUUAUUCUGCAGUAUUCACUUAAAUCUGCCGCCAAUUGGACAGAAACCUAGCUCGUCGAGCUGUAUGCGAUUGAAUGUAGUAACCACCGGGGCGGCAGGGUAGCCUAGUGGUUAGAGCGUUGGACUUGUAACCGCAAGGUUGCAAGUUCAAACCCCCGAGCUGACAAGGUACAAAUCUGCUGUUCUGCCCCUGAACAGGCAGUUAACCCACUGUUCCUAGGCCGUCAUUGAAAAUAAGAAUUUGUUCUUCACUGACUUGCUUGGGUAAAAAAAAAAAUGCGUAUUUGCAUGCCUUAAAUUGUCCUUCAAAGAUUCCGUAGGUGAUCCUUAUAAAUAGACACCACCCCGUUUUUCGUUCUCUUGUUCUCACUCAGAAGUCUGAGCAUGUCUCCAAGGUGAAGAGUACAAUGAGGAAGAUUAGAUGCCACCAUGACCUAUUGGUGUCACUGUCCAAGCAAAUGGCACAUGAACGUAGCAGUAAGGCCUGCCUUUUCUCCGUGAAAGAAUAUAGUGGUAAGCUACACCAGGUGGCAUUUGGAACUCUGUCCAGUCUUAAAAAAGUAAUGUGUAAUUGGUCUGUGAUGAGAAAUCAUGCACCACGCUGAACUUGUGAUGGAUAACCUCUACCACAUUAUCUGAGACCUGCACAGACAUGGUUACAAAUAAAUGCUGGUUCAUAAGGCUGGGUUGUGAAUGCUUGGUUCUGGUUUCCCCGACAUGGAUUAAGCCUACUUCUGGGCUAAAGCUAUUUCUAUGGCGAAUCCAUAUAGGCCCCUACUAACAGUUUAAUGGGCUUGUUUCUCAGAAGACCUGUUUUACCAAUGAUACUUCUUGGUGGUUCUUGCCCUUUGUGAUGUAACGGUCUACAAUGCCACUGUUACAAUGAGCGGGCAGACAAACUAACCAAUGAUGGCACGGCUGCCCUGUUCAGUGGGCAUAGAACCGGCCUGAUAUGCCAAGGUAUCAUAUCCUGUCCUCUCGGUGACAUGACCUAUUAAUCGAGCACAUUUGAUCUUGGUGUGACUGAUGCUUUAGAACAGGGUUAUUGAACACUUUCUAUAGGGCAGGGUUUCCCAAAAUGUCCGGUUGAACCCAAGGGGUGCGCAAUUUGGGUUUUGUCUAAGCACUACACAGCUGAUUUAAAUAAUCAACUAAUCAUCAAGCUUUGAUCAUUUCAAUCAGUUGUUGGUGCAAAAACCAAAACGAUACCCUUCAAGGUCUGGAGCCUGCUGGUGUUCUGCUCUACCUGAUAAUUGUACCCUCCUGGGGUCCCAGUGAUUUAGAAGAAACCAACUCAGUGGAACUGGCUUUGAGGUCUAGACUUAGGGCUGUUGCACUAGCAGCUACCUACUUGGACUAACUACUUAUUAUAUCUACACUUUGACUAUUUGUUGGCAUUUUUUUUUUUUUUUCCUUGCUCGGUUUCCUUAACUGUUACCAUCCUGUUGUUUUCAGAUAAAGGGUGGUGCAGCACUGCUUGCUGACUUACUGGUUAGUGGGUCAUGAUGUGACUCCACAAUGGUAAGUCCUUGCCUCAAUUGGUUAUGCACUGGCUAAAUGUCUUGUUCUCCUAGCAAUCUGCCCCUUGAGGUGUUGCAGUCCGACUGUACGUGUUGAGCCUGUGUCAUGAGGGGCGGAGAGUGACAGGGCUAUGUCUACGCCAAGGACCCAGAACAGUGGGUACUUGGAGUGAUCAUAGCGGCAACAGUGUAUGCAAUGUAAUGCUGGUAAAUGACGUGUUCAUAUCAUACAUUUAGCGUUCUGUUUUCUCUGGUUGUCCUUAGGAUGUGAAGUUGCCAAUGCGAAAUUGGUAUACCGCUGGUUGGUGUCCUAGCGGCUGUGACCUGGAAGUAGCAGAAUGAUUGCCGCCUUUCCUCCCUGAAAGAAUGCUGUGCAGUGUGCACAUAACAGCGAUAAAGGAUGGUCUGGAGGUGCAGCAGUGCUGACCUACUGGUUAUAGUGGGUCAUGAUGAGGCGCCACAAGCCACGCUGCCAAUGAGAAGUUGGUAUUUUGGUGUCCUAGCAGAUGUAACCUGGAAGUAGCAGAAUAAUUGCCGCCUUUCCUCCCUGAAAGAAUGCUGUGCACAGAACGGUAAGCAACAUCCAUGGCAUUUUAACUUUAAGUCUUAAAAGAAAAUGUUUAAUGAGAAAUCAUUCACCACGCUGAACUUGUGAUGGAUAACCUCUAUACCACAUUAUCUGAGACCUGCAGAGACAUAGUUACAAAUUCACACAAGGCUUGUUAAUGUUACACUGAGCAAAUGAACGGGUUGGUUUCAUGAGCUGAAAUAAAAGUUCGCAGAAAUCUUCCAUGCGCACAAGAACCUUAUUUCUCAAAUGUUUUGCACAAACUUGUUUAUACCUGUUAGUGAGCAUUUUCCUUUGCCAAGAUGAUCCAUCCACCUGAUAUGUGACAUAAGCUUCUUUAUUAAACAGCAUGAUCAUUACACAGGUACACCUUGUGCUGUGAAAAAAAUAUGCCGUUUUGUCAACACAAUGCCACAGAUCUCUCAUGUUGAGGGAGCGCAAUUAGCAUGCCGACUGCAGGAAUGUCAACCAGAGCUGUUGCCAGAUUUGGAUUUUAAUUUCUCUACCAUAAGCAGCAUCCCAACAUUUUAGAAUUUGUCAGGACUUCCAUAUUUUCACCUAUACGAUCUGAGACCGCUACCCGGACAGCUGAAACUGGGUUUGCUCAACAUUCAGUUCUGCAUGGACUGUCAUACAGUCUCAGGACACUUGGGUGUCUUGACCUGACUAUGCUCACCUUUGUUGGAGUGUGCCCUUCACAGGUGUAUCCCAGUUUCAACUGUACCGGGUAGAUGGCAGGCAGCGUCCAGUGUUGUGGGUGCGCAGUUUGCUGAUGUCAAAGUUGCGAAGAGUGCCCUAUGGUGGCAGUGGUGUUACGAUAUGGGCAGGCAUAAGCAAUGGCCAACUACAUACAAAUUGCCGUCGAUAAUAUGUAAUUGUGUUUUGAGGUUCCGUGAUGAGAUCCUGAGGCCUGUUGUGCCGCCAUCUGUCUCACCUCGUGUUUCAGCGCUAAUCCAUGGCCCUAUGUUGUAAUGAUCUGUACAAAAUUCCUGUGAGCUGAAAUGUCCUGUUUCUUCCAUGGCUUACAUACAGAGCAUGUUUAUGAUGCUUUGUAUGAUUGUGUGUUCCUGCAAUAUCCAUCCACUUCGAACAGGCCACACUCACCUCAUCUGCUCAACUCUAUGCGAAGGAGAUGUUGUGAUGCCUGAGGUAAAUGGUUGUUGCACGAGCCUUUAUCUGUGACAAAUCUAUUCCCUGUCAUGUGAAAUCUAUAGAUUAGGGCCUACUGGAUUUAGUACCAUAGCCUGAUUUUCCUUGACUUAACUUUGAAAAUUUGAAAUUAGUUCGGUAUAGAUUAAACCUACUAAUGGACUAAAGCUCUUUCAAUGGAGAAUCCAUGUAGGCACCAAUAGGUUUGUUUUUCAGCACAUGUAUUAAUGGUGUUUCCUACCUCUUGAUGUACUUGUGGCUCCAAUUGCAUGAUAAACUGACCCACAAUGACUUAACUGCCCGCUUUAGUGGGAAGCAGGUAUGGCACAGUCUCAGGUACCCAGACCCUCGCCAGGAGGGCAAAGUGUCCUAACCUAUUAAUCACGCACGUUUGGUGCAAUACUCAAGAACUAGCAUCAAUGUAUUUGGACCCACUACUUAAUGUGUAUGCUGUUGCCUUGAUAUGUUGCUCUUCAAACUUACCUGUUACAUCUUUAUUUUCAGAGUCUGACAGUGUGGGGUUGACAUGGCGCCACAGGUCAUUGUAAGUCUGCCUCAUUUGGUUACACACUGGCUAAAUGUAUAUUGGUCUCAUCGAAAUCUGCCCCUUGAGGUGUUGCAGUCCGACUAUGUGUUGAGCCUGUGUCAUGAGGGGCGGAGAGUAACCGGGCUACGUCUACGCCAAGGACCCAGGACAGUGGGUACUUUGCAUGACUAUGGCGCCGAUAUUGGGACCCAUUUUAGACCAGCAGACAAAUGUCAACUUCUAGUGCUUGAACAGGUGGCCGAGUGCUUGAUUUAAGCUCCCUCGGUAGUUUAGCUUGUUUUGCCAAAACCACUUAUUACUGACUGGUAAUUGCCAUUGGGCCAAUACUUAGUUGAUUCAACUAACCUGAGGUUUUAUGACUUGGUCACUUUUUUUAAAGGGUUGCCAGGUUUUUUAUAUUAUUCUCACCAAUUUCCUGAUUUGAUCGAUGGGACAGGUGCUGAAGAACGACUGAAGAUUGGCCUGUUGAAGAUGAAAGGUGGCAGUACCUUAGAAGAAAGCAGAUUGUUCAGUUGCCAGUCCUAGACUAGGGUGCCAUCUGAUUGUGUAUGCAGCUGCCACUAUUAUAGCCGUUAGAUGCCGUUAAUCACAGCAAGCUCAGUUUUAGUUUCUGGUUAUCACGUGAAAACCCUUUACUCUGGGUGACCUAGGUGAAAUUGGCUCAACAAAUAUUAAUUAAACAUACCUGCCCUGUUCGAUUUGAAUAAAUGUAUUGCUUUCAAGAUAAUUAAAAUAAACUCAAGCUGAUCUCAG